Molecule: long non-coding RNA, 539 nt
Organism: Monodelphis domestica (gray short-tailed opossum)
Lineage: Eukaryota; Metazoa; Chordata; Mammalia; Didelphimorphia; Didelphidae
Source: RefSeq, a predicted model, not a curated record
AGGCCCCCACUCGCCCGAGACUUUAAGUAAUCGCCUUUUGGCGCGCGCUCAGUCUCUUUGGGGUCAUCUGCUUUCGUACUGAUGCAGAACAAAGGGACCUGGCUGCGGAAGCCAUGUCCACGGCUGAUUCUCCGUGAGUUGUCUCUGAAGGGAGGGCGUGAGUAGUCCGAGGGACCUCUCGUUGCCAUCGGCCUCUGGAACAUGGGUUGAACUGGCGAAGAUGUAAUUUCCCCCAUUAUUGGCGGGCACACGUAUGCCACCCACAGCAGCAAGGCACUCGAUUGCUGGCUUUCAGAUCUAUGAAGCCGAAGGCACGUGUAGGGAGUAUAAGAAACAGAUUCUACUUAAACACAGGAAAGGGUCCUAACUUGCUUUGUGGUACAAUGUUGAAGCUGUUCCAGACCCUGGAAAUGAAGGAUUAUGCGGACCGUGAUCAAAUCAGGUGGCAAGCACUUGGAAGUUUCUUUUUUCCAUCCUCGGAUCCCUGUUUAUAUACAUAUUUUCUUAAAAUUAAUAAAAAGGUUUUUUUUGUAAUAAGA